RNAcentral lists this long non-coding RNA (7371 nucleotides) under Mytilus galloprovincialis (Mediterranean mussel). The record is from RNAcentral. Lineage: Eukaryota; Metazoa; Mollusca; Bivalvia; Mytilida; Mytilidae.
AAAGAUGAGUGUGAAAGUGUUAAAGUUUAAUAUAAUAAGUCGUAAAAUAAUUAAGAUCCUUGAACCUUGCUAUUUGUGGCUACAAAUUGCACGAAAAGAACUAUAUUUGAAUAAGCUGGCUUUUACGAUUCAAAACAUAAAAGUUAAGACUUGGAGUACGAUUCUCGACUUUAUCAGAACCAAUAUCGAGGUAAGUUGAUAUAUUUCGUAAAUAUAUGAAGGCUGCAAUGGUUCAAGAUUUAUAUAAUAACUAAAUAACAUAUCUGAUAUGUUUAACGAUAUCAACGAAAAUUUAUAUAAAAGAACACUUACAAAGACUCAAAUUAAUAUUUACUGUUAAUCUCCGAAACAUGUAAUUUAAAAAGAGAAUGAUAAAAGAUGAUGAUGAAGUUAUGAAUCAUCGAAAGUACUAAAAUAUAUAUCUGCUGGCGUUCAGAUAUAACGGUUUUUUUUUAUAUAACUUAACGUCGGCAGUAAUAUAUUUUAUUACUUCCGAUAAUUCAUGAUAUUUAUAUCGGCUUUGGUAACAUAAGACAUUAUAUUAACCGCUGGAAACAUGAAAGGUUAGUUUAAAAUUUAGAUAUGCUAACGUUAAUGAUUGAUUUGUAUGAUGUCAAAUUAUUUCUCGUUUUCUUUUUAUUCAGUAUUAGGUGAAAACUACGUACGUUAAUGGAUGAUCUCAUGGAACUAUGUAAAAUAAGAUCACUACAACACCACUAGGAACUGCACAGGAACAUAGAACAAAUUAUCCAUUUUUAAAAACUAUUUAUGAGCAAUUUUUUGGCGUUAGUCCUGUGUAGUAAUAUUUUGUUUUUAUUCCAAUUUAAGGGCCAGUGAAGAGUUGUUCAUUCAAUCAUUCUUAUAAUGGUAAUUCCAGCCUCAACUUUUCUGUGAUGUUUUCAAAUGUACAAUUUGAAACUUAAUUUUACUUUCCAGUUCGUUUUAUAGAUUUUUCUUUAAUUCAAAACGUAUAUAUUGUGUACGAAUCAUUGGCAGAAAAAUAAAAUGUUACAUUGAUGUGUGUUUCCCCAUUUUAAUAGUCAGUAGAAUAAAUUGUGUGAGUUAUCUUUAUAUACUGAAGCCAAAUACAAUGCAAAGUGUUAAUUUAAUGUUAAGUGCCUAUCGUACUAGGUAGUUUUUGUUGAAUAACAUUAAGAGUUCAAAUAAAAGUAUCUUAACGUUUAUUUUAGAGAAAAUAAUGUUUCCUUUUGUUUAUUAUUUUAUCUGUUUUGAUUGUUUUUUAUUCAUACGUUAGUGUAGUAUGUACAUUUAGUUUUACUUCAUUUCAGAUACUAUUUACAGAAUGAACAGCACUACAUUUGUAUUCACUAUUCUUCUCUUUGCUAUAGGUAAAAUAUUACAUUUUUCUAAUUUUAACUUGUCUGUUAAAUUUAUCUUCAUUAACAAAAAUGGGGUCGAAUACUCUAUACUUCUGUACAUGUAUGCAAUUAAUUACAAUUACUUUGUUAUCUAAUAUGAUCAAUUGCACGUAUACCUAAAUUUAAAUAUUUUCUUUGAAGUAUUCAUACUUACUUUGAAUUACUUAUGAUAUUACAGAAAUGUUUAUAAAAAAUCAGUCGAAAGAUAAAAAAGGACAUUUUAACUCGCAAAAGUGAUUAAGAUGAUAAAACAAUGUUGACUUUUAUUGACAUGUUUACCUAUUGUGUCUGUUUGUAUCGUUCAUACAUCGUUGUCAAUAACGGAAUUUUUUGCAAUGGUCAUAGAAGUUCGAAGUUUAGCAAGGUAUAAAAUCAGGUUUAAUGCAACAUUUUCUACAUAAGAAUAUGCCUGUACCAAGUCAGGAAUAUGACAGUUGUUAUCCAUUCGUUUGUUUUACGUUUUGAAGUUGACCAAUGAAUUUGAAUAGAGCCUUUCCUUUUUUGAAGUUUCCUGGGUGUUCAGUAUUGUUGUGAUUUUACUUUUCACAAGUCGACAAAAAACUGAAAAUGCUAUGGCUUAAACAUUAGAAAGACCAAAGGACAAAUAACUGGAUACACAACGAAGUAUAGAAAACAAAAGACUGCGCAACACGAUAACCACUAUAAUCUUUUUAAAGACUAUAGAUUUAUCAUUAUUGUAAUUGUCUUUAAGCCAAUGACAAUAAUGAUAUAAGUAGAUUGAGUUUAUAAUUUGAAGGACUGUUUGAAAAGGGUUAAUACUUGAUGCAGUUGGAAAGCAAAUAUUUAAAUGUUUAUGACAAAACACAAAAAUUUUCAAAUAAAAAAAAACAAAGGUUAUAAAUUUCAAGUGGGCCUAUGUAUGCUGAUUAUCAAAGUCAAAAUUUAAAUUAGAAUUAUUGUUUUAUUUUAUUCAAUGAAGUCUAUCUGAAUGCCACUUUUUUUUCUAGAAGUGAGAUGCUGCACUUGUAAAGGAAUUCUAGGUUGCACUUUGUAAAUAAAGCGGUUUAUCAAACCCCGCCUAUUUUGGGAAGAUAUAUAGUAUUCAUAGAUAUAACUGUUUUGUUAAUAACCUUACCUGGUUACCGGAUAGUAGCUCUAUAUUUCAUCUCAAGACGACGUAACUAGGGAAUGUUACCAGUAUAAAUACAAAUAGACAGCGGCUUAAUUAAAUCCCGAAGUAGAUUCAAAGUAAAAGGAGGGGAAUUUUUGUAUAAGUUUAACUCUUACAAGUUCGAGGAAUACAAAUGGUGAAAAAUAGAAGUUAAUAUGAACUUAAAUAUGAACUUCAAAACUUUAUAGUAAAAGUGUUACAGUUGUAGUGACGUAGUUUCUAUGCAUAAUUGCAUAGUUUAUAUUAACAGAAGUGCAAUCUAUAAGGAGAUUGACCAAGUCCGAUGGAUUUUUAUGUUUAGUUUGUCAAUCAACGAAAUAUAGUUCUUAUAAUUCUUAACCUUAUCAAAUAUAACUUUAUAUAUUGUUAACUAUUCUCCAUCAAAUGAAAAAUUGAUAAGUCGUUAUUUAGGAAGUUUUGAAAUCUAUAAAUGUUGGAUUCACGCAAUAAAAUAAAAAUAAAAUAGCAUCUACUUGAUGUGGAAGAAUAACUGAAUAACUGUUUAUUUUCUUUGGGCGUAAUAUUUUGUAAUGAAUUACGCGCUUAAAUCAUCCUUGCAAUAAGCUUUACUUUAUAUUGAUGUCAUACAUAUUUUAAAAUAUUAUGCAUUAGUCCAUUUUGUUGUGCAUUAGAAUAGAAAUAACAGUACAUGCCUUGUUUUUCGGAUCCCAUGCAUGUUUGUUGCAUAGGAAUACAUCUCAGUGAAUGUAACGAUAGUUGCUUCGGCAACCUGAUUCUAUUGACGUGUAAGCCAAGGGGAAAAUCUGAUGGAUCAAUUUGAUUAGAGUAAAUGCAAAAUAUACAGAAGUGAUAACCAAAUAUUGAAGGUAAUAUUUGAAGUAUCGCAGUGUGGUUUCAAAGCAAUUUCUUCUAUCGCAAAGACUUAAUGAAUGCAAGUUCAUCUAGUGAAGUUGUUUACAUGUUCAACUUAAGUUAGUUAUAUUCUUGUUGUAGAAUAGAAGCUAUAAUUAUUCAUAUAGAAUUGAGUUUGUAAAUGGGGUAGAACAGAUUGAUUUCAAAAUUCACCAAGGAUAAAAAUUUAAAAAAAUUCAAAAGUAGUAUGCCUCUGUUCGAAACUUUCAGUACCCAUGGUUGAUGUAAAGGAUUAUAUAAUUUAGAUAAAAAAGUGCUCUGUUUAACUUAACACUGAAACGAUACAUAUCAGUGAAUUGCAACAGCUUGAGUUUGUCAGUGUUUAUUGACCUCCACGUUGUAGAAUUCGCCUUAUUUAUUUUGGUUUUGUUACACUUUUAAAACACAUUUAGUGUUAAUGAAAAUAUACUCCGUUUCAAUUAACCGUUUUAACAUUAUUUAUUUAUAUACAGGUAUGCGAGAAUCCUUUCAGCAAGUCUGUUCUGACAGAUUUUGUAAAGUAGCUUACAUCAGUAACGUUGGCUGCGCAGGUUGUUGUUUAGGGUCUGGAUGUAAUGGUCUAUUGCGAAAACUCUAAAUGUUAUUGCAACGGAUGCGAGGUUAAGAAAAGUGAAGGUGUGUAUUGAAUUUGGUAAAAAAAUUGAUUUAAGAUUAAAGCGUUAUGAUACAUUUACGGCAAUAUACGAGAUAAGUCAAAAGACACAAUAGUUUGACCGGACAACAGAAAGUCACUUGUUCAUAAUGAAUGCUUUACGAGUAUGUUUACCACUUUAAAAGUUGAAAAUAUGUAACCUUUUGAGUUAAUUUUUAUGAACUAUUUGUUUAUCAACUUUUUUUCGUGGUUUUUAUGUACGUACCACACGUCAUGUCACUUUCGAGAAAAAUGGGUAUUAACAGUUUUCCUGAUUUCCUGAAAAACAGAUACUUACUCAAAGAAACACACAAAAACGGAGAAAUCACAUAAAAACGAAAAUGAGGGUUCCUUGUUUAGUCGAAACAGUAAAACAUAAAAUUGCAAAACUACCAAACUCGGAGGAAAGUUUUAAACGAAAAGUCUCGAAACUAAUGGCAAAAUCGGAAACUCAAUCACAUCAAUCGAACAGAUUACAACACUGGUACGGGUCUCCUAUUCUUCAUGUUUAACCGAAAUAGAGAAUCCACAAUCACGUAAAACGUCAAAAUUGGGAAAAAAAAGGUUUAAUUAAAAAAAGAAAAAUGCAUUCUUACCACAGGUCCUUGUUUUAUAUUUAUGAUGUUUAUUGCUAUUUAGUAUCAACCUCAAGAGAUGGAACUGUUACUGCUUUCAGCUCAGCAAGAUGUCGGAUAAGUAUGUAAAGCAAAAGCGAUAUAUAUAUGUGAGACUCUGAACCGCAUUUGUCACGCUGACGUGCGAUGGUUGGGCGAUGAAGUGCUAUGGUGACAUUAUUACGAUUGUAGCUAGCUUGGCUUAAGGGGGUUCGCUUCUCAAUUUCAUAAUAAUUAACUUUUCAAAACACUAGUUUAUAAUGAUAGGGAAUUAAUAAAGGAAUCAAAAGAGCAAACAAAAAAUAUAUAAUGUGCUUGUUUUCGAGAAAUUAGCAAUUCAAAUUUUGGCGGGAAAAUAUUCUCUCUUGACUUUUCAUAGCUUUAUCAUUGACAGGUUUUAAUAAUCAAACACUAUUAAAAAAAUAAUUAAGAUUUUGUAAGACUUUUACAAAUGGCUUAUUAUUAUACAUGGAUUAGAUUUAGAAAAAGAAAAAUAGGGAUCGAUCGGCAUUUUUUUGAGGCAUUUAAAUAGACAAAACCGGAGGAUUCCGUAAAUCUAACAUAAAUCCAAAAACCUGACAAGCCAACUUCCUUAAGUGCGUUGGGUGGUAACGCUGAAGUGCUAUGGAUUGAAGUUGUCAUUUGUACAAUGUUUUUGUUUCGAUGUAGAAGUCAAUUUGUUUGUUAGAAGUAGCUUUUCAGUUUUAAGGGCAUAAGAUACAUUUUUGAUCCAAUAUUGUAAUUUUGCUAAAAAUUGCAUGUAGGCUAUUUUUUGCCUGAUUAAAUCAAAUAUGUCAUAAAAAAUAUACCUCAUGUGCUACUUUUUGAGUAAAAUGAGGUCGAAAUUUGAUAUGUUUGCUAAAAAGUCGGAUUUGUGGACGUAUUUUUCCUUUCGACAGGUAUACAUUACAUUUUUGUUUUAAAAGAUAAACACAAGCUGUUUUUGUUAAAUUAUUUGUAAAUUCUGUCUCAUAUAAACGUCCUUAAAAUUUGUGCAAUUGGUUUUUUCAAAUAACUCAUAUUUAUCAAAUGUUCACAAAUGUAGAAAAAAAACAAAAUUUUUGCUGUAUAUUAUAUAUAUAUAUAUAUAUAUAUAUAUAUAUAUAUAUAUAUAUAUAUAUAUAUAUAUAUAUAUAUAUAUAUAUAUAUAUAUAUAUAUAUAUAUAUAUAUAUAUAUAUAUAUAUAUAUAUAUAUAUAUAUAUAUAUAUACUAGUCAACAAAAGAAACGAUACACGACUUUUUUUCAAAUUAAAUAUGAAGUUUUCCGUUUAAAGGACCAAUAUUGAAGGUUGUAAUACUUAAUGACCAUGGAAAAAUAAAUCCGUUUAGAAAAAAUAUUUUUUUUGCUUUCAUGACGUCAUUUGGCGAAAUUUAAUUUUUUUGACAAAAUUUACAGAAAACGACCAUUUUAAAAACAGAAAUUCCAACUAAUGAUGCAAACCUCUCAUUUAAAGGUAAAAACAAUGAUUGCCAUUAAUUCUUUUUUAAUAAUCAUACGUUUAUUUGUAAAGUAAAGUUCGGCCUCACUAAAAAUCGUUAAAAUGUUUACAUUAUCAAUUGAUAUGUGUAAAGUGAAAUUAAAAAAACAACGGUAACAAUCUUAAAACUAAUCCGAAAGUUUCCAAAUUUACAGUGUAUUGUUUUCAUAUCUAAAGCAUUGAUUUAAGACGAUAUUCUUUUUUUUUUAUUUGCAUUUUUUGAGAUUUAAAAAACACGCUUCUUCUACCAAAAAUUUAAAAAAACAAUAUUUCAACCCAUAAGUUACAACAUAAACAUAACUUGAUGAGCAUAUUGGAUAUUUUUUAACAAAUUCGAAAAUUCAUUUAGUAAUUAGAAAAUUGUGUGGCGAUUUUUUAUCCAACUCUCCGCAAAAAUAAUUUGCACCCUAUGAUCGUUUACAAGGAAUUUAGUUACUUUCCGACAUGGUUUGAUUUUCAUUCUCAUAUGUGCAUACAUUGCAAAUGAAAGCCUUUUAAAAUAGUGUAUCUCAAUUUGCUUUAUAUUUAAUACUUUGUGAUAAAUUUUAUUUUAAAGUCGUGUAUCGUUUCUUUUGUUGACUAGUAUAUUUAAAAAAAAAUUGCAUGUUUUCAUGUAAUUUAGCAUACAUUAUCUUCUUACGUAAUGAAACCAAAUGACAUUUUAAAAAAGAGGGGUCCAUGAACUCAAGUUAAAUUAGUUUGAAUGAUAAAAAAUUGAAAACAACACGUUUAAUAUUUAUGGCGUCCGAAGCACUAUUCUGAGUCAGAACUGAAUCUUUUCCCGAUAAGUCAUAAUUUGACGUCGCGAAAAUAACAAUUAACGUUAGCAGCGUCAUUACCUACGUGCCCUGUAGCUGUAUUGUAUGCCCUCAAACAUAAGUCUAGUCAUAAAAAUAUCGUUAGUGUUUACUUUUUACAUCGCAAAGACUUCUCCCCAUCCUCAAAUACAGUCGUUCAUAGAAUCGCCAAGAAAAUGACGUCUAUAGACUCUAAAUGCACAGGCUUUUUUCCCUUUAAAACGAAUUACAACUGUGGGCAAUAAAACACACGCUUAUUGUUGAAAAUGCAAAUGCUGUUUGAUUAGUUAUAUAUCAAUAAAGAGUUAGGUAGGUAAAUGAAAUAGAUAAAAAAAAACAAAACAAAAAACAGCAGCAGCCCUCAUUAAUCUUAUUUUUGGAGUGAAAUGCUUGUCAUCUUUUAAUUGUUAUUUUGUUUUUAUUUCAGGCGGUAAAUGGGGACUGUCUCUAGCUCUUCGAGAAGCCG